AGAGAGAGACAUGCGUGCAUAUCAAUAAGCGGAGGAAAAGAAACUAACAAGGAUUCCCCUAGUAACGGCGAGUGAAGCGGGAAGAGCUCAAAUUUGAAAUCUUAAAGGGUUUCCCUUUACGAAUUGUAGUUUAAAGAAGUGUUUUCUGUUGAGGUUUUGGUAAAAGUUCUUUGGAAUAGGACAUCAUAGAGGGUGAGAAUCCCGUAUUUGACCUUUACUUUCAACUUUGUGAUACACUUUCAAAGAGUCGGAUUGUUUGGGAAUGCAGUCCAAAAUGGGUGGUAAAUUUCAUCUAAAGCUAAAUAUUGGCGAGAGACCGAUAGCGAACAAGUACCGUGAGGGAAAGAUGAAAAGAACUUUGAAAAGAGAGUUAAACAGCUACGUGAAAUUGUCAAAAGGGAAGCGUUUGACACCAGUGUUGUUUUUCUGAAAAUCAAUUAAAGAACUGUUUAUGCUAAGUUGUUUAGACUUUAUCAGCUAACUGUUUAGUUUUGAGCUUUUCUUUAAUGCACUUUUCAGUUAACAAGUCAACAUCAAUUUCUUUUGCUGUAAAAAAGCUUGAGGAAGGUGGCUUGAGAUUCGUCUUAAGUGUUUAUAGCCUCUUGCCUAUGCAGUCGGAGAGAUUGAGGUCUGCAGCGUAGAUCCUUCGGGGCUAAAUGCAUUUGUGCUAAGUUAUAGCAUUUUAUAGACAACUUGUUGACUAUGAUUUGUCUUGUAGCUUACUCGCUUAUGUUAUUUUACCUACGCUUAGGAUGUUGACGCAUGAGAUAUACGC
This 775-nucleotide ribosomal RNA is filed under the name uncultured Neocallimastigales. RNAcentral describes it as "partial large subunit ribosomal RNA". It matches the Rfam family "Eukaryotic large subunit ribosomal RNA", at positions 23 to 646 of the family's 3401-position model. Lineage: Eukaryota; Fungi; Neocallimastigomycota; Neocallimastigomycetes; Neocallimastigales. The record is from RNAcentral.